Molecule: long non-coding RNA, 3023 nt
Filed under: Sus scrofa (pig)
Lineage: Eukaryota; Metazoa; Chordata; Mammalia; Artiodactyla; Suidae
Description: lncRNA (ENSSSCG00040055120.1)
Source: RNAcentral
UUUUUUUUUUGGUCUUUUUGUCUUUUUGCCACUUCUUGGGCUGCUCCCUCGGCAUAUGGAGGUUCCCAGGCUAGGGGUCCAAUCGGAGCUGUAGCCGCUGGCCUACGCCAGAGCCACAGCAAUGCGGGAUCCGAGCCGCGUCUGCAACCUACACCACAGCUCACGGCAACGCCGGAUCGUUAACCCACUGAGCAAGGGCAGGGACCGACCUGCAACCUCAUGGUUCCUAGUCGGAUUCGUUAACCACUGCGCCAUGACAGGAACUCCAAAAUUGUGCACUUCUCUUGGGGAUUACAGUAUCAGCUGCAAUCAUGUACCUUGGCAACGCAGAUCAGCUGGACUCACCAAAGCAUUAACUGUUUGGUCCUAGCUGACUUUUUCCCUCUCCUAAGAGACUCUGCUCACUCUCCCAGGAGGCACUUCAGUAUGUUUACCCCUGACCAUUACAAGUGAAAUUCAUGCACACUGGCCACCACAUCCAUCCGAGCCAGUCCAGUUGCUAGAGCUCAACUAUGUCCACAUCCUCCAUGUAGCCCUUCUAACUUCCUGAGCCCAUAGUGUUCCACCUGUUGCUACUCACGUAUUUAUAUGUCACUACUCAGGCACUGCUUUAUCAUAUUCUGCCUUAAGUUGUCAUAAUUUUUUAAAUGUGAUCAUAAUAAUUACAUGGUAUUGCUGAAAGUUUGGAAGCUAGAGAAACAAUCAUCUGUGAUAUUUUGAUAUAUUCCAUUUCUUUUUUUCAUAUGUAUGCUUGCCAUAGUUAUAACUAAAGGCAUAAAUACAAUUUUGCCUCCUGUUUCUUCCCCCACUAAACACAUAAAGAAAAAACUAUCCAUAAUUGAGGAUAAUGAACAACAUCGACGGGACAACAGGGAAGCAACUAACUCCGAAGCCUGAUUUUUUUUAAGGGUGGCAAUAUGCCCCGUUAAAAUAUUCUCUUCCUCAGACUUCAUGGUCUAGAGAGGCCGAAUAUCACAGUUCAGGAUAAUUAGAUAUACGCAGAUGGGUGAGGCUGCUGGGAAAGCUUUUUAAGACUCAGCUGGAGGGAGUUCCAGUUGUUGCUCAGGUGGUUAAGAACCCGACUAGUAUCCAUGAUGUGGUUGAUCCCCAGCCUCGCUCAGUGGGUUAAGGAUCUGGCACUGCCGCAACAUGCAGUGUAUGUCCCAGAUCUGGCGUGGAUCUGGUGUUGCUGUGGUUGUGGUGUAGGCAGGCAACUGCAGCUCCGAUUUGACCCCUAGCCUGGGACUUUCCAUAUAUUGCAGGUGUGGCCAUUAAAUUAAAAAAAAAAAAAAGACUCAGCUGCCAUAUCUUUUUUCCUUUCCUCUUGCCUAGAUAGAGGGUACAAGUCCCGGAGGCAGAACAGCCAUGCUAUGACCAUGAAGAAGAAAACCAUGCAGGUCCUGAUAACGUCCUCGAGCAGCUGUGCUUGUUUGGAUUAUCUUGUGUCUUCUUGUUACGGGAAGAAAAUCAGUCUCAUUUGGUUAAGUUACUGAGUUGCGUCCAUGCAACUGAAUGCAAUCCGAGCUAAUAUGAUAUUAUGUCCCUUUUCUUAAAGCAUAUUAGACAUUCUGAGAAGUCCUAUUUAGCUGUGUUUAACCUAACAUUGAUAUCAUUUGACUACAGAACACUUUGUCCUCAGAACACUUAGUAUAUCUCACUGAGCAUGAGUAUUCUGCAGAAGUUUGGAAAAUACUACUCAUUUUGCAUUGAUUCAGCACCCUGACCGUUGUAACCUUCUACCAAGAUAGGAAACCUAGGAGGAGUACAUGCUGGGGGGGGAGAGUGAGUUUCAUUUUACAUGUACUGAAUUUGAGAUGUCUGAGAGCAGCUGUCCAUCGAAAGCCCUGAAGCUCACAAGAGACAUUUAGAAACAAACAAGAUAUUGAAAUCCACCGUUCCUUGGGUUAAACUGUGAUUGGCUUUUUUUUUUUUUUUUUUGGCUUUUUGGGGCCACACCUUGGGCAUAUGGAGGGUUCCAGGCUAGGGGUCGAAUCAGAGCUACAGCUGUCAGUCUACACCACAGCCACAGCAAUGCAGGAUCCUAGCCACAGCUGCGACCUACACCACAGCUCACGGUGAUGCCAGAUCCUUAACAAGGCCAGGGAUUGAAACUGUGUCCUCGGGGAUGCAAGUCAGAGUCAUUUCCUGAGCCACAGCUGGAACUCUUUUUUUUUUUGGUACGUGUAAUUGUUAAGGUAGAAAACAUUCUACAAGCGUUUUUACCCGUGAGGAAAAUGACAGUCUCGUUUUGAAUCCCUUCUUUAACUGCCUUGCUAUGCCGCCUCUCUUGAACGAGGAGAUGGAAAGAAUACAGUGCUUCAAGUCAGACACACUGGAGUUCAAAUCCUGCUGUGUCCGUUUACUUAGCUAUGUGACCUUGGCUCAGGGAUUUUAACGUCUCUGAACUUCAAUUUUCUCAUCAAGGGGCUGACAGUCUAACCUUAGAGAGUUGCUGUGAGAAUUAUAAAAUACUCGACAUGGUGCCUGGUAAAUUUUAGCUGCUCCAUCUCCCUCUGGCUAGAAAAGAUACGGUGCUUCACACUGUCCUCUCCUGUGUGAUGCCUUUUAUAUAGCUAAAUAGCAUUUACAAUUAAGCCAUGGCAAUGAUUUAGUUUCUGCCUACUAAAUAUCCACAUGUAACUCGAAGAUAGAAUUUGAAGGCAGGUCAAAUGAAAUUGUAUGUACUUGAUGGAUUUGAAUUUUACUAUUUUAUAUAUUUAACAAAACAAAGCACCGCCUAUGUGUCUGGCUUUUUUCUACCACUUCCUAAAUGAGUUAAUAUUAACUCAUUUAACAUUUAUAAUAACCUUAUUAAUUAGAUACUGUUAUUAUUCCCAUAUGGAAGAAAAAGAAAUAGUUGCACCAGGAAGUUACAUACCUUGCCCACAGCCACACAGCUAGCAGGUGGAAAAGCCAGGCUUCAAAUCUGGGUAGUCAGAGCCCAUAGUUCAGGCUUCCAAUUACUAAACUACAAUAUAAAAGAUAUAAAUAAAUAAAAGGAAUUACUCUUCUUGCUGUCCUCU